This 497-nucleotide ribosomal RNA is filed under the name uncultured bacterium. Its description in RNAcentral is "partial 16S ribosomal RNA". It matches the Rfam family "Bacterial small subunit ribosomal RNA", at positions 28 to 507 of the family's 1533-position model. The record is from RNAcentral.
GACGAACGCUGGCGGCGUGCCUAAUACAUGCAAGUUGAGCGCUGAAGGUUGGUACUUGUACCAACUGGAUGAGCAGCGAACGGGUGAGUAACGCGUGGGGAAUCUGCCUUUGAGCGGGGGACAACAUUUGGAAACGAAUGCUAAUACCGCAUAAAAACUUUAAACACAAGUUUUAAGUUUGAAAGAUGCAAUUGCAUCACUCAAAGAUGAUCCCGCGUUGUAUUAGCUAGUUGGUGAGGUAAAGGCUCACCAAGGCAAUGAUACAUAGCCGACCUGAGAGGGUGAUCGGCCACAUUGGGACUGAGACACGGCCCAAACUCCUACGGGAGGCAGCAGUAGGGAAUCUUCGGCAAUAGACGAAAGUCUGACCGAGCAACGCCGCGUGAGUGAAGAAGGUUUUCGGAUCGUAAAACUCUGUUGGUAGAGAAGAACGUUGGUGAGAGUGGAAAGCUCAUCAAGUGACGGUAACUACCCAGAAAGGGACGGCUAACUACGUG